Paramuricea clavata is the source of this 159-nucleotide non-coding RNA. Lineage: Eukaryota; Metazoa; Cnidaria; Anthozoa; Malacalcyonacea; Plexauridae. The record is from the annotation of a GenBank genome assembly.
UUAUAAGACUUGUUACAAGGCUGUUCUAACAAGUCUGAUACAGUCAUAAUACCAAGAAUGUUACAAGACUUACAAGGUUGACGACACAAGGUUGUAAAAAUAUUGUUAUAUCAUGACUGUAUCAGACUUGUUGGAACAACGUUGUAACAAGUCUGACAA